RNAcentral lists this long non-coding RNA (1409 nucleotides) under Chrysemys picta bellii (western painted turtle). RNAcentral's name for it is "lncRNA (ENSCPBG00000022472.1)". Lineage: Eukaryota; Metazoa; Chordata; Testudines; Emydidae. The record is from RNAcentral.
CUUGUACUGCAGACCUAAAAAUACUGUAGAUACUUGGUCUUGGGAUGGAGGCUGGGCUCCAAAACCCUCCCCACUAGCUGAGUUUCAGAGCCCAAACAACUCCUCUGCUAUUUUUAGCCCCACAGUAUGAGCCCUAUCAGCCCAAAUCAGUUGACCCAGGCUCGGAGACUCACUGCACAGGUCUUUUUUUGCUGUGUUGAUGUAUCCUAAAAGGAGUGGGGGGAGAGAAGUAAAGAAAAGUUGGAGUUGGUGAGAGACAGGGACACAAGGGACCGAGACAACACCAGGAAAACGACUGGAUCAGGAAUCACCAAGAGCUGAUGCCACCGGGGCUCAAAAUGGACGGGACAGUGACGAGGACCACAACAACGCAGGAGCGGGAUCAAGAUCAAUGUAAGGAGGAGAUCACGGGGAAAGAAGAGCAAGAUGUAAAAUAUGAAUAUACUGAGCCAUAUGUUCCCUUCUGCUUCUGCAAGUGAAAGAGAGCGAACAGCUGCAGAUCCUGACAAGAGGAUGGAUGCAGAGCAGGGAAUGUCAGCUCUAUGGCCUGCUUUCAAUGGUGACCCAGAAGCACCUCCUUAACCCUGUCAGCAUUAAUUUAUGCCAAUUCCACCGCUGUGACAUGACGCCCCCCUCGCUCCUAUGAAGAGUUUCCAGGACAUCAAAAGGUGAAAGGCACUACAAAAGCUGUGUUGCUACAGAGAAUAGAGAGGGUCUCCAUCCAUGUGAAUGGCUUUGCCAUUGGUAGAUACUGGAGGCUGGCAGAUACUGGUGGUCAACAUUCAUUCUGAUAGAAAAAAUGUGAAUCUCAAUUUUUUAACUUUUAUUUCAAGCUAUGUAAAUGAGGUGUCUCAAUGCGUGGAUGAGACGAUGGUGUAGGGAGGAGGUGUUUAGAUUAGGAACUGGGGACACUUUUGGGAAAGGGGGCACCUAUACAGGAAGGAUGGGCUCCACUUAAACCAAAAUGGAACCAGAUUGUUGGCAUUUAAAAUUAAAAUGGUCGUAGAGCAGUUUUUAAACUAAGGGCUGGGGGAAAGCGACAGGUGCGGAGGAGCACGUAGUUCAGACAGCGACAUCUCUUAGGGGAGGAUCUAUUAAUGGAGAUUCUCUAUGUCCUAGUAAGGAGGAGAGGAUGGAAGAUGAUAAAAUACAGGCAGGAGCUGAUGAGAAACAGUCAAAUGAAGAAAAGUCCCAUUCAAUACAUCAUGUAAUAGCAGACAGCUAGAAAGUGACAAGUUUUUAAAGUGCUUAUAUACCAAUGCUAGAAGUCUUGCCUCAUUUUAAAUGAGGAUAUUGAUAUAACAGGCAUCACAGAAACUUGGUGGAAUGAGGAUAAUCAAUGGGACACAGUAAUACCAGGGCACAAAAUAUAUCAGAAGGACAGAACAGGUCAUGCUGGUGGGGGAAUG